UCGGGAAUUUUGCGCAAUGGGCGAAAGCCUGACGCAGCAACGCCGCGUGAGGGAUGACGGCCUUCGGGUUGUAAACCUCUUUUGUCAGGGAAGAUAAUGACGGUACCUGGCGAAUAAGCCACGGCUAACUACGUGCCAGCAGCCGCGGUAAUACGUAGGUGGCAAGCGUUGUCCGGAUUUACUGGGCGUAAAGAGCGCGCAGGCGGUCGAUUUAGUCGCGUGUGAAAGCCCCCGGCUCAACUGGGGAGGGUCACGCGAUACUGAUCGACUCGAAGGCAGGAGAGGGUAGUGGAAUUCCCGGUGUAGUGGUGAAAUGCGUAGAUAUCGGGAGGAACACCAGUGGCGAAGGCGACUACCUGGCCUGUUCUUGACGCUGAGGCGCGAAAGCUAGGGGAGCAAACG
Molecule: ribosomal RNA, 402 nt
Filed under: uncultured bacterium
Lineage: Bacteria
Description: bacterial SSU rRNA
Rfam family: Bacterial small subunit ribosomal RNA
Source: RNAcentral